This 8865-nucleotide long non-coding RNA is filed under the name Medicago truncatula (barrel medic). RNAcentral's name for it is "long non-coding RNA (MTRU_LNC001515)". The record is from RNAcentral. Lineage: Eukaryota; Viridiplantae; Streptophyta; Magnoliopsida; Fabales; Fabaceae.
CCAUCAAAAGAGAAACCAAGAUCUCUCUCUGGUGAUGACCUUGGUGAUUCCUUCUCUGUCGAUGAAGAAACUAUGACUAAAAAGGGUUGGGUUGAUGAGAUUCUUGAGAGAAGAGACGAGGAGGAGGGUUCUUCUAGUGAAGAUGAUGAUGGUGAAGAUGAUGAUGAUUUGGAAAGGUCUGAAGAUUCUGAUGAAGAAUCAGAGGAUGAUCUUGAUGAAAACGAUAAGAAUACUACUUUGAAAGAUUGGGAACAGAGUGAUGAUGAUGAUAUCAGUGCAGGUUCAGAAGAUGAAGAUGAUAUCAGUGUUGGUUCAGAAGACGAAGAUGAGGACGAAGAAAGAGCUGCGGAAGAAGUUGAUAAGGUAAAAGGAUUGAAUGUUGGUAUUCAUAAAAAAGCAAAGAGAAAUGAUUCUGUUGAAAGUGUAAAGGGAAAUAAUGGUUCUUUAGAUACCAAGAAGAUAGUCGUUGGAGGGAAAAUGUCGAAAGAGUUAGAGAUUCCUUAUAUAAUUGAAGCUCCGAAGACCUUUGAAGAAUUAUGUUCACUAGUGGAUAAACGUUCAAAUUCUGACACUAUCUUAAUCAUCAAUCGGAUUCGGAAAAGCAAUCCAAUCACACUUGCUGCAGAAAAUCGAAAGAAAGUACAAGUAAGAAACUUAUCUUUAUAUUAACUAUUUGUUUUGAUUCAAAUCUCCAUGGUGCUUGUAUUCAUGUUUACUGAAUCCACUGACUGUUUUACCCGAGUUUUAACUGUUAUAUUAAACUUUUAUGUGGUAUGUUGGCAAUCAUUGAAAAUUCGAUAUUUCAAUUUCUAAAAUUGCUUCCCUCAGCUCAACUGUGCAAACGUAGGGUCUUACUAGUGUCAUGCUUUGUUCUUUGAAUGAAACCCUAGUUUGCGGAUUACUUUGUUCGUCAAAGUCAAACUAUAUUCUAUGUACGAUUUUGCUGGUGCUACAAUUAUUCCCUAUAGGAGACUGAUUACUGUUGCUUCAUACCUACUGCCCUACAAGACUUGUAGAAAUUGAGAGAAAAAAGAAUUGGUUAACAGAUAUGAUACACAGCUAACAGGGGGCUGCUCCCCUGUUUUUUUUUUUCUUUUUCUAGGAGACUGCUCCCCUAGUUAACAACCAAUAAAAUACAAGAAAACAUUUUGUAAUAAAGAACAUCUGAAUAAUCCCAUUAUAUAGCACCCAAAACUAAUCAAAACAAGUUCUAACUCAUUAGAUUGAUAUAACCUAGUUAAUAGAGGUUGGUUAUGUUGUCAUUGAUGUAUUGCAAGGUUUAAUUUGAAAUGUUCAUGGUGUGUAAAGAAAUAUGUAGAAAGCACGUGCCUGUGGUUGUUUGCAUUCUUUGUAGCCCAAUCCAGUUUGCAAUACUCAGAUUUAAUAGACUAUUUUGCUUAGUUGGUUAAUGAACGACUCUCUUACAUCCUGUUCCCAAAUAUUUUAUGAGGAACUUGUGCUCAUGAUUAUUGUACUUCUAAUUAAAUGUACUAAUAACCCUACUUCUCUUUGCAGGUAUUUUAUGGAGUAUUAUUGCAGUACUUUGCUGUUUUGGCAAAUAAGAAACCAUUGAACGUUGAAUUGAUUAACAUGCUGGUGAAACCAUUGAUAGAGAUGAGUACGGAAAUCCCAUACUUCGCUGCAAUAUGUGCUCGUCGCAGAAUAGAAAUCACUAGAAAGCAAUUUGUUGAGAGUAUAAAAAACGCAGGUCAGAAUGAAAUUAACUUGAAUGCUUUCCGUCUCUGUCUUAACUUUUAUCAAGAACUAUGAAUUGGUAGAUAUUUAAGCAGCAAAUGAUGUAAAAUUCUUCUGCUAUCACAGAAAGUAGCAGUUGGCCUUCUUCAAAGACGAUGUGUCUCUUGCGAUUGUGGUCCAUGGUAUUUCCAUGUUCUGAUUUUAGACAUCCAGUUAUGACUCCUGUGAUACUAUUGAUGUGCGAAUAUCUGAUGCGUUGCCCAAUAACAUCUGGCCGUGAUAUUGCCGUUGGUUCUUUCUUAUGUUCUAUGCUUCUCUCUGUAAGUUACCUUGUGUGGCAAGUUACUUUCUCGUUUUUUACUUUUAAAUUUUUUAUAGGCCAAAUAUCUCCCGCGGUCCUUUAAAUUCGACGUUUAUAACAAAUGUCCUUUAAGUUUUUUGUUACAAAUUGGUCCUUUUAAGUUUUUUCUGUUACAAAUUAGUCCUUCAAGUCGUAUAAUAUUUACACUAUUACCCAUUUUUUCAACCAACUUCGUUAAAUAGUGCUUAUGGAUCAUUUAACAUUAAGGUGGUAGUUCUAAAUGUGCUUUCCUUAUUAAUUACCCAUUUUUUCAACCAACUUCGUUAAAUAGUGCUUAUGGAUCAUUUAACAUUAAGGUGGUAGUUCUAAAUGUGCUUUCCUUAUUAAACAUGAUUACCUACGCACAUUUUAUUCUUCUAGUUUUUGAAUUCAACCCUAAUUUUACAUAUAAAUAUUUCAUCAAUAGUAUUAUAAAUCAAGUGUUUGAUCAAUUUUGUUUCAAAUCAAGACUGUAUAUUACACCUAUGAACCCUAGUGUUGAGAGCGAUGAGUUUGGACAUACCAACUUAAGAUUAAACGUCCACAUGCACACUUUUUAACUGGGUUUGAUGAAAAUAUGAUAAUGGUGCAGAUAUUUUAUGAUUUAAAAGGACCAAUUUGUAACAACAAAAAAACUUAAAGGACUAAUUUAUUAUAAACAUCUAACUUAAAGGACUGCAUAUGGUAUUUGGCCUUUUUUAUGUUUUCACCAUUCACCAAUAAGGAUCUGAUGAAAGCAUGUCUGAUUUCUACCAUGAAAAAGUGGCAUCCUACCAAUUGUUUAUGUAAAUCUAUAAGCUUGAUUUGUUUCUACUAAUGAGUUUAGCCUUUGGUCUCUGCUUUCUAAGAUAUUUUUUUAUUGGGGAUUAAAUCUGCUUUCUAAGAUGUUCACUAUAUAGCCUUUGGCCUAUGUUUUUCAUCGAUGGCAUUUACAUACCUUGCUCACGCAAUGAAUAUAAAACACAGGUAUUUAAAGAGUCACGAAAGUUCUGUCCUGAACCAAUAGUAUUUAUUCAAACUUUGCUGCUAGCAACCACUGAAAGUAAACAUAUAUCAUGCGAAAAUUCUCAGGUAUGAUUUUGUCAUUGAUCAUUUGCAGUUCAAAUCAUAUUUUUGUGUGUGUACGUUCUUGUUUGUGUGCAUGCACAUAUGUUUGUAUUUAUUUAUGUAUGGUGUAUACUAACCUCCUCAUUUGUGUGUUAGCGUCUUCCACACUUAGUUGGAUGAGAUAACACUUUGAUAUUUCAUAGAAAAUCAAAUUCCUCAACACUAGUGCUAAUCACUGUUGUCGAACAAAUUGGUGUUGCUUGGUGAGAAAUGUCAAUCAUUCUACUUGUAUAUUCUACUAACCUAUACUAGUACUAUAAAAAUUAAAAAUAGCCAGUAGAAAAAGAAAAUGCUGUUUACGGAAACAAAUAAUGAGGAAAGGUGCAUGAUCUUUAUGUGGCAAAAAUAUCCUCUUUGAUUUGCUUGCUGAAUUCUCAUUUGUACCUGAUCUCUGCUUAACCUACGUCUCUUAUGGAAAUUUUGCUAAGGAGAAACUAAUUGCUGAAAAAGGGGAGCAGAGGCAGGGUGUGCAAGGUUUAAAUGGGAUAAGAUUUUAGAAUAUUAAAUAGGGUUAUUUUUUUGCAAUUUGGUUUUGAAGAAAUGAUAAAUAUCAAACUAAUUUGGUUUUAUAAACAUAAUAUUAAUGAUAUGGACUUCUGGUCAUAUGAUGAAUUUUAUAAUAAGUUCAUUCUACAAAACUUAUUGACUUUGAAUGAUGUAUCUUUGAAAGUUGAUUCAACUUUUCUUUUGCCAGUGUAUUCUAUAUUGAUUUUUUACACUUCGCUGUAGCCAAGAUCUCACUCGUAAUAUUCAAAAAACUGUUCCAAAUAUACAACCUAAUUAACUUUUACUCCUACAAAUUGUGUUUUCAUUAGAUGGAGUGAUGUCCUUAAAAAAAAGGAUGAAGUGAUGAAUUUUUCAUAAAAACCUCUCUUUGGAUGAAAAACAGUGUAUCCUACCUUUAAUGUUGUUUUGAAAAGUGCAAAUCUGUCUAUGCAUUUCCCUUAAAAUACAGAUAAGAUAUUUCUUUGCCUGUAGUCUGUACCUUAGUUCACAAAUAACUCUUCGCUUUCUUGUGUUUGAGAUUGAUAUGUGUGAAGGUUUGCUCGAGUAAUUCUGUAACCUUAGCUAGUUCCUGGAUGAUAUAUAAUAUCAUGCAUAUGGUGCUGUACUUCAUGAUGGCACCAGAAUGUUAUGGUUGGAUAAUGAGUGACCAUAUUGUUGAGUGACCAGAUUGUUUGUUUCUGUCAGUUAUAUCAUCUUAUGGAACUGAAAGAUCUCAAGCCACUAUUGCGCAUUAAUGAGGAAGUAGACAAGAUUAGCGCUUUGAAUUUCUUUAAGUUAAUAGACAUGCCUGAAGACUCUCCAUUCUUCACUACGGACAGUUUCAGGUAAACCAAUUUAUUACCACUUUUUUUGCAAGAAAAAUGUUACCACCAUGAUAUUUUGUAGUCAAUCUUCGUAUUUGAAUUUUAACAAAGAAAAUAGCAGCGGGGUAUUGUAUUAUCUUGAGUUGUACUAUCAAGAGCCUGCCAUUUAUAUUUGUUAUCAUAGCUAUGAUCUUAUAACUGAUAUGGAUGCAUAUAAUGUUGAGGCUUAUCUUUAGAGCAUUGAUCGNAUUGUUUGAUCGAUCGCUUUGUGGGGUGAAAGAGGGUGAAACUCACUGACAAUGAAUAAAAUUAGGGUUUUAAGAAAAUUUAUAUAAAAGGGCAAUUUUGGUAUUAUAAAAAAAUUUUAAGAAAAUUUGGGUGUAACCAGAAAAACAUGGGGUGUAAAUAGAAAAACUCAAAAUAAAACUCCUUAUUUGUUUGAAAUAAUUUUUUAUUUUUUAUUUUUUAAAUUCUCUAUUUUUCGCCAAUUUUUUUUUUAUCUUUUGUUGAGAAAAACCCAAAUUCUUUCUUCUCUAGGUCGUGCACUUCUUCACCCGCCGCAACAUCCUGUCCACCACCCUCUGCCGCUCAAAACCAAACCCAACAAUGGCGAAAUCAUCAAAACGCAGCAUCGCCAACGGAACCAACACCUCCAACAAGAGCACCAGCAAGAAGAAGAAAAACAACAAGAUGGGUCCCGAAGCAGUAGCCAUGAAAGCAAAAGCUCAAAAAACGAACACCAAUCCAUUCGAGUCAAUCUGGUCACGUAGGAAAUUCGAAGUAAUGGGUCAGAAGCGUAAAGGAGAUACCAAACGAAUGGGGUUGGCUCGUUCUCUUGCUGUUGAGAAGAGGAAGAAGACGUUGCUUAAGGAGUAUGAGCAGAGUACUAAAUCGUCGGAGUUUAUUGAUAGACGAAUCGGUGAGAAUGAUGAAGGGCUUGAUGAUUUUGGUAAAGCUAUUUUGAGAUCGCAGCGGGAACGUCAGGUAACAACUUAUUGCUUAAGUGCUUAUCAUGAUAAGUGCUUAUGUAUAAGCUAUUUAUAUAGAAAAAGAUAAAUAGACUGAUUGGUAAAAAACAGUGAAUAGUGGACAAGUUAGCUAAUUGAAUUUGUAGUGUUUGGUAAAUUUAGCUGUUAGCUUAGGUUGAACUAGCUUAUAAAUAUGAAAUGACAUAGAUACAAAUAUUUAAUCAAUAUUUACUAUUUUUUCAAUUAAGGCUACAAGGGUAAAAGAGAUGAAAAUAGCUAUAAGCUACUUGAAUUAGCUUAUCAAAAAACACAAUAACCUAGUAAAGUUAAGCUAUAAACUCGUGUGUCAUGAUUACAAAACAAGUUUUUUUAGUCAAAUGAGCUUAUAACUUUAUAAGACAUAAGCUAGAAGCUCAAAAAUAUGUCUUGCCAAACAAACCCCGAGAGCCUGUUUGGAUUGGCUUAUUUGAGCCUAUCUACUAGUAAAAAUAGCUGCGAGACUAUGCGAGAGAAUUUAUGAAAACAACUUAUGACAUGUUCAUAAGCAUGUUUUCAGCUUAUUUCAAUAAGUUCUCCAAGAUAAAUUAUGAAAACAGUUAUAUCAUAUAUGAAAACAAAUUGACUUUAUUUUAUCUUGUAUAAUAGAAAUAGCUUAUUGAUAAGUGCAGCACUUAUGCUAUAAGCUUCAAACCAAGCUAUUUAUCCAAACAGGGUCAAAAUGAAGUUAUAUUGUUUUGUAUAAGCUAUAAGUUGUUUUCAUGAGAUAUCUUGGGGAACAGAUGAAAUAAGGUGAAGUUAGCUUAUGAACAAUGUCAUCAGUUGUUUCUAUAUGUUCUCCUAAACAGUCUCACAAAGUUUAUGCCAAUAUAUAAACUCAAAUAAGUAAAUUCAAACGGGUCCUAAAGGGUUUGUUUGAUUGUAUUUUUGUUUUUAGUUUUUAAAAUGACGAGCAUUAUCUGUCAACGUUUUGAGUUUAACGGGGAUGCACUUUCGAUCAAAAUCCAAUGAGAAUUUAUCUUGCGACACAAACCCACUUGUCUGCUUUGCAACCGAAGUUUGAAAAUAAAUACAAAAACUUGAUUCUCAUUGGGCAUUAGUAUAAAACAAGAAAGUAAGAAUUUUUCAGUUUUAAUUUUUUGAAAACUAAAAACUGUCUGAAAAGAGAAUUGAAAUAGUCUUUAAUUUUUGAAUUCUUGUCCUUGAAAAUUUUGUGAAUUAAUGAUUGUUUUAUGGUUGUUGAAAUUGUAGUUGAAUGUGAAAUCGAGUAAGAAAAGCAAGUAUCACUUGUCAGAAGAAGAUGAUGACGAGUUUGAAGGAAUUGAUGGUCUUGGAAGGGAUGACUUUGAAGAUGAGAUGCUUGGGGAAGAUGAUGAUGAAACUGAUGGUACAUAGAAUUCAUAUUAGUUUCUGUUUACCUAGUAUAACAUGUUAAUGGUGUAUUUGCUGAUUGGAACUUGGGUGUUUUGAACUCUAAUUAGCUAUUGCAUGCCUGAUAAUUUGAUAAUUAACUUGGAUGAUUAAUUAGCUAUUGAACUCUGCAUACCAUGUUUAUACUGUUUGUUUUAGCUGUCUUCUAUUUUGCUCUAUCUUGAAGUUUUAUUAGUGUGCCUGUUGUGUUAUUUUUGUGACGUAACGUAUGUUAUGUUGAAUAUUGAUUUUGCUGAUAUUUCAGAUUUGGGUCGGCGUCAUAAUGCUCAUGGUAUGCAGAGUCCAGGGGAAGCUGCUGACAAUGGGGAAAAUGUGAGGCCUGUUAUGCUGUCAAUGAUGGCUCCCUUACUAUUUUCUUAUAUAUCUUUUUCUUCUAUUACUGUGACUAUAGGGAAGCAUUAUGAACCAUGGAUGCUUUCUGUAAUCUACCAGUUAUUUCUGUUUCAGUGACUAUAGGGAAUCUUGUCUUGAUAUCAAUUCCUUUUUAAACUUUUCACAAAUAUCACUUUAUUUAAAAUGCUUUGAAGCUGUUUCUGACUGGUGACUUAUCCUACAGAGACAUAAAACCAAGAAGGAAGUGAUGAACGAAGUUAUUGCAAAAAGCAAGUUUUACAAGGUGUGUGAUAUUUCUUAAAUCAGGGCUCUGUUAGUUUAUUUGUCUUCUACAACUUGUUCACUUUCUUUUCUUUCACUCUAAUAUUUUCCAGGCUGAAAAAGCAAAAGAAAAGGAAAAAGAUGAAGACCUGCUGGAAGAAUUAGAUAAGGACUUCACUUCUCUGGCUCAUUCCGAGGCCUUGUUGGCUCUGACUGAACCACACAAGAUGAAAGCUUUGAAGGCUCUGGUGAACAGUAGUAUUUCAAAUGAAAAAAGUGAUAAAGAUAGCUUGUCUGCUAAACGGACAAUGAAUAAUUCUGUUCAGGUACCAUUAUUUAUCCUCGAGGGUCUUCUUGCCCUGAUAUCUUCUUUUAAUAAGAACAUUCUAUAUUCCAACUUUCUCUUUAUGGCAGGAAAAGCCUGAUGAUUAUGACCAACUUGUCAGACAAAUGGGAUUUGAAAUGCGUGCUCGCCCUUCAGAUAGGCUGAAGACUAAGGAAGAGAUUGAUCAGGAGGAAAGAGAACAUCUAGAGGAGUUGGAGGUAUGAUAACAUGACUUUUAGCUAUAAGUUUGUUAUUAUACAAUUAAUAAAUUACUUUUAGUAUUUUAUCACAUUUUUUAAACAUUAACUGAUCUCCAAUCUUGGUUGUAUAUCCGAGCUUCGUUUUAAGAUGGUUUAGAUCACUUGUUCUGGCCAAACUGUAUAGACUGGGAUGAACCCAAAACUACCUAGCUUAAUGCUGGAUUGAUGUUCAUAUUUUAAUGUAAUAUGUAUAGUGUACUAAUGUUGACAAUGAGUGAGCCUUGGCAAUGCCAUCACUUGUAAGGUUGUUGGCUUGUAACCCUGUGGUUCUUGGUGAUAGUCAUGGAAAUGGGAUCUCUGCACAUGAGUGUAAAAUUGUGGAAAUACUUAUUUGUAACGAGUCAGAUACUUAAUACUUUUAUCCAUAAUUUCAGAAAAAACGGCAGAAGAGAAUGACCGCUGCUGAAGAUUCGAGUGAGGAAGACAAUGAAGAAUCAGAAAAGCCAUCAAAAGAGAAACCAAGAUCUCUCUCUGGUGAUGACCUUGGUGAUUCCUUCUCUGUCGAUGAAGAAACUAUGACUAAAAAGGGUUGGGUUGAUGAGAUUCUUGAGAGAAGAGACGAGGAGGAGGGUUCUUCUAGUGAAGAUGAUGAUGGUGAAGAUAAUGAUGAUUAGGAAAGGUCUGAAGAUUCUGAUGAAGAAUCAGAGGAUGAUCUUGAUGAAAACGAUAAGAAUACUACUUUGAAAGAUUGGGAACAGAGUGAUGAUGAUGAUAUCAGUGCAGGUUCAGAAGAUGAAGAUGAUAUCAGUGUUGGUUCAGAAGACGAAGAUGAGGACGAAGAAAGAGCUGCGGAAGAAGUUGAUAAGGUAAAAGGAUUGAAUGUUGGUAUUCAUAAAAA